This 459-nucleotide long non-coding RNA is filed under the name Mustela putorius furo (domestic ferret). RNAcentral describes it as "lncRNA (ENSMPUG00000030734.1)". Lineage: Eukaryota; Metazoa; Chordata; Mammalia; Carnivora; Mustelidae. The record is from RNAcentral.
CUUACUUUAGCCACAGCCCUGGGCCCUUACUCCAACAACUGUCUUCUUCUCUGUUCAGAUGCAGAUAAAGCUGACAUCAUGUGGACCUCACCACUCCUUUCUACCCUGAAGAAAGUAGACAUCUGGUCCCAAGCCCGCAAGGAGGAAGCUGAACUACAGGGACAGAUGCGUCACCAGCUAGCCCCCAAAAGCUCUUUGCAGGAUGUCCCAAAACCUCAGAUAAUGCAGAAGGAAGAGCUUAUCAUUGUGCAACCCACAGAUCUUUCUGCCAGGGAGUUUGUGGUUUACCAGUAUGGCCUCUCUGUCCUGCACCUCCUCAUCCCCCAGCUGCAUGUAAGUCUGGGUUCUGGCCUCUCUGUGGAGCAGUCGUCUUGCAGCCAAGAAGGUUAAGGUGACCAGGAAGGAGGCUUUCAGGUGGUGAUACGUGUUGGGAUUAAGCAGCUGGAAUUGGGAAUUUAC